CUUGGAGAAGAGAAGGCUGUGGGGAGACCUCACUGUGGCCUUCCAGUUCUUGAAGAGUGCGUAUAAACAGGAGGGGGAAUAGCUGUUUACGAGGGUGGAUGGUGAUAGGACAAGGGGGAAUGGUUUUAAACUGAGACAGGGGAGGCUUAGGUUGGAUAUGAGGAGGAAGUUUUUCACCCAGAGGGUGGUGACACACUGAACAGGUUGCCCAAGGAGGCUGUGGAUGCCCCAUCCCUGGAGGCAUUCAAGGCCAGGCUGGAUGUGGCUCUGGGCAGCCUGGUCUGCUGGUUGGCGACCCUGCACAUAGCAGGGGGUUGGAACUGGAUGAGCAUUGUGGUCCUUUGCAACCCAGGCCAUUCUGUGAUUCUAUGAUUACUCCCUCUGCACUUAGCAGAACAAUUUGCAUGUUUUUCUAUAUAUACAACAAGGAUUGUUAGGCAAC
RNAcentral lists this long non-coding RNA (442 nucleotides) under Gallus gallus (chicken). RNAcentral's name for it is "lncRNA (ENSGALG00010011494.1)". The record is from RNAcentral. Lineage: Eukaryota; Metazoa; Chordata; Aves; Galliformes; Phasianidae.